CGCAUCAGUUGCCAUCGGUAAGGCCGGGCACUCUGGAUGGACUGCCGGCGACAAGCCGGAGGAAGGUGGGGACGACGUCAAGUCAUCAUGGCCCUUAUGUCCAGGGCGACACACGUGCUACAAUGGCCGGCACAACGGGAAGCGAAGGGGCGACCCUGAGCGGAUCCCCAUAAAAGCCGGUCCCAGUUCGGAUUGCAGUCUGCAACUCGACUGCAUGAAGUUGGAAUCGCUAGUAAUCGUGGAUCAGCCAAGCCGCGGUGAAUACGUUCCCGGGCCUU
Molecule: ribosomal RNA, 278 nt
Filed under: uncultured Thermovirga sp.
Lineage: Bacteria; Thermotogati; Synergistota; Synergistia; Synergistales; Thermovirgaceae
Description: partial 16S ribosomal RNA
Rfam family: Bacterial small subunit ribosomal RNA
Source: RNAcentral